GGGUGAUUAGCUCAAUGGUAGAGCAGGAGACUCUUAAUCUCUUGGUUGAGGGUUCGACUCCCUCGUCACCCA
Molecule: transfer RNA, 72 nt
Filed under: Thermosynechococcaceae cyanobacterium MS004
Lineage: Bacteria; Bacillati; Cyanobacteriota; Cyanophyceae; Acaryochloridales; Thermosynechococcaceae
Description: tRNA-Lys
Rfam family: tRNA
About the family: Transfer RNA (tRNA) molecules are approximately 80 nucleotides in length. Their secondary structure includes four short double-helical elements and three loops (D, anti-codon, and T loops).
Source: RNAcentral